Ictalurus punctatus (channel catfish) is the source of this 597-nucleotide long non-coding RNA. The record is from Ensembl. Lineage: Eukaryota; Metazoa; Chordata; Actinopteri; Siluriformes; Ictaluridae.
CUAUCACACACACACACAUACACACACAUACUAGCCUACUACCUAGUACAGUCAAUAAAUUAGUACAAAGGAGUGUGUUCAGGCCUCAGUGGAGCAUAUCCAGGCGCACUAGCCUGUUUCCUGAGCUCAUGGCGUAUUACAUACAAGGUAAAAUGGGGAAUCUGUGGGCUAGCACAGGUCUGUAUGAUGAUACCAAAUAUUCAUUCAUCGAUCCGGAUUACCACAUAAACAUAGAGGAUUAUUUUCAACAUGUUAACGUCAUUGAACAGGAGGUGGAGGAGGAUAAGAAACGGGGCGGAGCAGGAGGGCAUGGCAAUGCAGAGCCGCAAAGGGAAGGUUGAGGACCUGACCAUCACCAUCAACAAGUCCCCAACUAAGCGUGUUGUAACCAAGAAGGGUUGGGAGAUGCAAUUCCUAAAGGGGUGAAGAACCAGGAGGACGUGUCCGACAUUUUUAGUGCUGGCCGUGGUAAAAGGAGGCAGCUUCUAGUCACUGCACCAGGAAACACUAAGGCAAGCUUGGCAUCGGGUCCAUAUAAUGUGUAUGAAUAGGAAUAUUGAUGACUUGAUCCCUGUUCUGGAUGUUGUUGGUUUGCCC